GUCACGAGGGUUUCCAACCAAAGACAUGCACGCCUCGUGCCUUCUUUUGUCAAUCCUUAGGUAUCAUAAAUCUCUCUCUCUCUCUCUCUCUCUCUCUCUCUCUCUCUCUCUCUCUCUCUCUCUCUCUGUGGGAAGGUUUCUUUUAAAGGCUUUCCAGCAAAGAGCUAAGACGCUUCAUCACUCCUUCGAUUCCUCAUUUCUGGGUUUGGUCUCUCUGGGGACUGGUCUCGUGGGCAUACAUGUGUGUUGGUUUGAGAGGUUGAAGCUGCCAGCAUGAUCUGGUAAUUAACUCAUAAUUUAAAACCUGUUUCUCGUUUUUGUUCCCCCUUUCCUCUCUUUCAAUUUAGUCUUUCCAUCUGAAUAUAUACUUGCAAAGUCUGGAUUUCUAAGCUUAUCUAUAGAUGGAUAGUUUGAAUUCAUGUUAUUUUUGAAAAUGAUUUUUUUUUGGUCGAUCCAGCGACGUUGCACGAAUCCUUGCUUUUAGGAUCGGUUAGAGUUGAGAAUCAUACCGAUUCAUUUCGAUUCGAUCAAGUGAACUUGAUUGACUAUAGUCUAUUAUGCAUAGAACAAAGGUAUGGCUAACUUGGUGUAAAAAGAUUUAACUUAGGUUGAAUCAAGCAAAGGAUGCACGGAUCGCAUCCGAGGUCUCGCGAUGCAAUCAUGUCGCAUCUUAAAUGGGUUUACAUACUCCCAAGCUUGCAUAGUUUUGGUUUUUUCGAAAAUACAUGAGAAUGCCCAUCCUGUGUGUUCUUCAAGUUUCAAGGGUUUCAAUUUUUACUCACACAAACAUACUUUUACCUAGCAAACUAGGUCAAGAAACUUGUCCCAAAAUUAGCUACAUUAAGAUGCAAUUAAAGGGCGACAUAUCAGGUCAUCUUGCAGCUUCAAUCACUCAUUCACCAACAAAAAGGGGACUCCUUGUUCAAUGGCUUGUCUCCCCCAAUACUUCUUAGCCCAGGUAAUUCUCUGUUAUUUCCCCCUAAAAUUCACUAUAUUUUUAGCCAAUGAUAGUGAUGACAUUCUUUUAUCAUUGACCAAUAUGCCUCAUUUUCUUGGGUUCAUUUGAAUUUGAUGGUAUUGGAUGAUCUCGGUCAUACAAUCCAAAAUAUCCAAAAAGAAAAUUCUCCUGUCCACAUAAUUGAAAAGAAAACAAAAACAAAAACUAGGGGACAUGGAAGGCCACAUACGGUAUGAGAAAUUGACAAUACAUGUGCGGAUACGCCAAUCAAAGUCAAUGCUUUGUUUGUGUUCUUUUCCCUUUUCCCCAUGUAAAUAAUACCUAAUUCACACAUCUCCAGAUAUCACACAUGAACACGGCAUAUUCUCUCUCUCUCUCUCUCUCUCUCGGUCUUGUAGUGUCAAUUGUUUUUUGUCUGUCUUGGGGGUGUGUGUACUGGGGAAUCGACAUGUAAAACAAAAUCACCAGACACAAGAAAGGCAAAGCAAAUGCAUGCUUGUGAAUA
This is a long non-coding RNA of Eucalyptus grandis, 1463 nucleotides long. RefSeq lists it as uncharacterized. The record is from RefSeq and is a predicted model, not a curated record. NCBI's taxonomy places the organism in Eukaryota, Viridiplantae, Streptophyta, Magnoliopsida, Myrtales, Myrtaceae. The transcript has 2 exons.